GUAGUGAAGGCUGAGAUACUGCCAGACCUCUGUGUAUGUCCGACAUGAUCCAGCAGAAAAAAACUCUUUGAUUUGAAUUGUUUGCUGCUUUUCCCUGGUUCAAAUCAGAGCUGUACGUGUCAAUUAAUUAUUAUCCUUGGUGCAACACUGCCAUCUACUGCCACUCAUUGCAUAUAUCUGCUUUGCCAAAUUGUUCGAGACAAGAGACAAAGGAAACUGCAGAUGCUGGAAUCCGAAGGAGCCAGGCAGGAGGCUGGAAAAACACAGCAAGCCAGGCAACCUCAGGAGAGGGAGAGGUUGACGUUUUGGAUUUAACCAACCAGGCGAGUUGACCACGGUGAUGUUGAAAGGAAUAAACGAGAUGGAUUCUGACUUGACUGCAGUCAUGGCUAACCUCAAGAUUCCGUCCUGCACUGCGACCAUGCAGCAAGUGCUGAAGUUCCUCCUUGCUCAGGUCUGACUCUUGAAGUGUAUAUCUGGUGAUUGAAGACAGCUGGUGCCCAGACACACUCAUCAGCCUGAGACAAGAUGGUGGCCUUGUCCUGACCUGGUAUGGCUGACUUCAGAAUCUUUUUAAAAACCCAGGUAUCAGGGUGAAGAGCACAGUACCUACUAAUUGUGACCAUUGGCACAGACCCAGCAGUGCCUUCCAGAACCAGAGCACCAUGCUGUACACGUGUAACUACAAGAUUAGUUAGAUUAAAGGUGAAGAUGCAAGGGGUUUGAUCAUCUUUGGAUAAUACUUCCAUUACCUGCUUUGUGUAUGGAAUAUGCUGCUAUUGCCCACUUUGAGCUGCUUCCCAGACCAGAAACUUGUUCAGCUUUGUUUGUGGUCUAAUUGAAAUAAACUUUUUUUUUUUCCCUGA
This is a long non-coding RNA of Hemiscyllium ocellatum (epaulette shark), 866 nucleotides long. RefSeq lists it as uncharacterized. The record is from RefSeq and is a predicted model, not a curated record. NCBI's taxonomy places the organism in Eukaryota, Metazoa, Chordata, Chondrichthyes, Orectolobiformes, Hemiscylliidae. The transcript is spliced from 11 exons.